GACGAACGCUGGCGGCGUGCUUAACACAUGCAAGUCGAACGGAAAGGCCCUGCUUUUGUGGGGUGCUCGAGUGGCGAACGGGUGAGUAACACGUGAGUAACCUGCCCUUGACUUUGGGAUAACUUCAGGAAACUGGGGCUAAUACCGGAUAGGAGCUCCUGCUGCAUGGUGGGGGUUGGAAAGUUUCGGCGGUUGGGGAUGAACUCGCGGCUUAGCAGCUUGUUGGUGGGGUAGUGGAUUACCAAGGCUUUGACGGGUAGCCGGCCUGAGAGGGUGACCGGCCACAUUGGGACUGAGAUACGGCCCAGACUCAUACGGGAGGCAGCAGUGGGGAAUAUUGCACAAUGGGCGGAAGCCUGAUGCAGAAACGCCGCGUGCGGGAUGACGGCCUUCGGGUUGUAAACCGCUUUCGCAUGUGACGAAGCGUGAGUGACGGUAAUGGGGAAAGAAGCACCGGCUAACUACGU
Molecule: ribosomal RNA, 467 nt
Filed under: uncultured bacterium
Lineage: Bacteria
Description: partial 16S ribosomal RNA
Rfam family: Bacterial small subunit ribosomal RNA
Source: RNAcentral